GGGAUCUGGAGGUCUGUCCACUUUCUCCACCAGAGGGCGUACUAGAUCUCCUGGAGCCGGAGUUGAUUGCAACCACCUGACGCUCAUCUGCUCAUCAGGAGAUCUGUAUUUAAGGAGGCAGAGGACUUCUCUCCAGUGCCAGAGUGUUUGCCAGUUACGAUUGAACCUGUCUGAAACCUGAAACCCAAAAGAGUAUAUCUGCCGGUAAUCUGCCUCUCUGUUCUCUGAAGAACCCUGGAGAACUAUUCCCGUCAAAGACCUGCCUGCCCGCUCUCUGAAGAAACGGGAAGGGAAACUCAAAUCGGUAAUCUGCCAACACUCAAACCAAGCUCUGCCUCCACCUAGCCCUCAGCCUGCCGACAGCCUCUGGACCCUCAAGGUUCCCCCCUCAGCUGCUCAGCUCAACUCCUGUACAGUGAACCCACUCGUGACCAGUCCUGGACCUGUUAACUCUGUGUGCAUUUCAGAAUCCACUCGUGACCAGACGAGUUCCCCUUGGGAUCUGUUUAUUCAUUGUAUUCCAUCUUCUAAAUAAACAUUUGAACUUUUA
Long non-coding RNA from Cyprinodon tularosa, 550 nucleotides. RefSeq lists it as uncharacterized. NCBI's taxonomy places the organism in Eukaryota, Metazoa, Chordata, Actinopteri, Cyprinodontiformes, Cyprinodontidae. The transcript is spliced from 3 exons. The record is from RefSeq and is a predicted model, not a curated record.